RNAcentral lists this ribosomal RNA (2992 nucleotides) under Salmonella enterica subsp. enterica serovar Typhimurium str. DT104. RNAcentral describes it as "bacterial LSU rRNA". It matches the Rfam family "Bacterial large subunit ribosomal RNA". The record is from RNAcentral. Lineage: Bacteria; Pseudomonadati; Pseudomonadota; Gammaproteobacteria; Enterobacterales; Enterobacteriaceae.
GGUUAAGCGACUAAGCGUACACGGUGGAUGCCCUGGCAGUCAGAGGCGAUGAAGGACGUGCUAAUCUGCGAUAAGCGCCGGUAAGGUGAUAUGAACCGUUAUAACCGGCGAUUUCCGAAUGGGGAAACCCAGUGUGAUUCGUCACACUAUCAUUAACUGAAUCCAUAGGUUAAUGAGGCGAACCGGGGGAACUGAAACAUCUAAGUACCCCGAGGAAAAGAAAUCAACCGAGAUUCCCCCAGUAGCGGCGAGCGAACGGGGAGGAGCCCAGAGCCUGAAUCAGCAUGUGUGUUAGUGGAAGCGUCUGGAAAGGCGCGCGAUACAGGGUGACAGCCCCGUACACAAAAGCGCAUGUGCUGUGAGCUCGAUGAGUAGGGCGGGACACGUGGUAUCCUGUCUGAAUAUGGGGGGACCAUCCUCCAAGGCUAAAUACUCCUGACUGACCGAUAGUGAACCAGUACCGUGAGGGAAAGGCGAAAAGAACCCCGGCGAGGGGAGUGAAAAAGAACCUGAAACCGUGUACGUACAAGCAGUGGGAGCACCCUUCGGGGUGUGACUGCGUACCUUUUGUAUAAUGGGUCAGCGACUUAUAUUCUGUAGCAAGGUUAACCGUAUAGGGGAGCCGUAGGGAAACCGAGUCUUAACCGGGCGUUAAGUUGCAGGGUAUAGACCCGAAACCCGGUGAUCUAGCCAUGGGCAGGUUGAAGGUUGGGUAACACUAACUGGAGGACCGAACCGACUAAUGUUGAAAAAUUAGCGGAUGACCUGUGGCUGGGGGUGAAAGGCCAAUCAAACCGGGAGAUAGCUGGUUCUCCCCGAAAGCUAUUUAGGUAGCGCCUCGUGAAUUCAUCUCCGGGGGUAGAGCACUGUUUCGGCUAGGGGGCCAUCCCGGCUUACCAACCCGAUGCAAACUGCGAAUACCGGAGAAUGUUAUCACGGGAGACACACGGCGGGUGCUAACGUCCGUCGUGAAGAGGGAAACAACCCAGACCGCCAGCUAAGGUCCCAAAGUCAUGGUUAAGUGGGAAACGAUGUGGGAAGGCCCAGACAGCCAGGAUGUUGGCUUAGAAGCAGCCAUCAUUUAAAGAAAGCGUAAUAGCUCACUGGUCGAGUCGGCCUGCGCGGAAGAUGUAACGGGGCUAAACCAUGCACCGAAGCUGCGGCAGCGAACGUAUCACCCAAGACAACUUUACGGAGUUGACGAUUGACGGAGCGAAGCGACGUCAAAGCGUUCAUUAAAGUCGAGUUGGCUUAGGGAUACGUUCGUUGGGUAGGGGAGCGUUCUGUAAGCCUGUGAAGGUGUGUCGUGAGGCAUGCUGGAGGUAUCAGAAGUGCGAAUGCUGACAUAAGUAACGAUAAAGCGGGUGAAAAGCCCGCUCGCCGGAAGACCAAGGGUUCCUGUCCAACGUUAAUCGGGGCAGGGUGAGUCGACCCCUAAGGCGAGGCCGAAAGGCGUAGUCGAUGGGAAACGGGUUAAUAUUCCCGUACUUGGUGUUACUGCGAAGGGGGGACGGAGAAGGCUAUGUUGGCCGGGCGACGGUUGUCCCGGUUUAAGCGUGUAGGUGUGUGUUCCAGGUAAAUCCGGUUCACUUUAACACUGAGGCGUGACGACGAGGCACUACGGUGCUGAAGCAACAAAUGCCCUGCUUCCAGGAAAAGCCUCUAAGCAUCAGGUAACACGAAAUCGUACCCCAAACCGACACAGGUGGUCAGGUAGAGAAUACCAAGGCGCUUGAGAGAACUCGGGUGAAGGAACUAGGCAAAAUGGUGCCGUAACUUCGGGAGAAGGCACGCUGACACGUAGGUGAAGUGAUUUACUCAUGGAGCUGAAGUCAGUCGAAGAUACCAGCUGGCUGCAACUGUUUAUUAAAAACACAGCACUGUGCAAACACGAAAGUGGACGUAUACGGUGUGACGCCUGCCCGGUGCCGGAAGGUUAAUUGAUGGGGUCAGCGCAAGCGAAGCUCCUGAUCGAAGCCCCGGUAAACGGCGGCCGUAACUAUAACGGUCCUAAGGUAGCGAAAUUCCUUGUCGGGUAAGUUCCGACCUGCACGAAUGGCGUAAUGAUGGCCAGGCUGUCUCCACCCGAGACUCAGUGAAAUUGAACUCGCUGUGAAGAUGCAGUGUACCCGCGGCAAGACGGAAAGACCCCGUGAACCUUUACUAUAGCUUGACACUGAACAUUGAGCCUUGAUGUGUAGGAUAGGUGGGAGGCUUUGAAGUGUGGACGCCAGUCUGCAUGGAGCCGACCUUGAAAUACCACCCUUUAAUGUUUGAUGUUCUAACGUGGACCCGUAAUCCGGGUUGCGGACAGUGUCUGGUGGGUAGUUUGACUGGGGCGGUCUCCUCCUAAAGAGUAACGGAGGAGCACGAAGGUUGGCUAAUCCUGGUCGGACAUCAGGAGGUUAGUGCAAUGGCAUAAGCCAGCUUGACUGCGAGCGUGACGGCGCGAGCAGGUGCGAAAGCAGGUCAUAGUGAUCCGGUGGUUCUGAAUGGAAGGGCCAUCGCUCAACGGAUAAAAGGUACUCCGGGGAUAACAGGCUGAUACCGCCCAAGAGUUCAUAUCGACGGCGGUGUUUGGCACCUCGAUGUCGGCUCAUCACAUCCUGGGGCUGAAGUAGGUCCCAAGGGUAUGGCUGUUCGCCAUUUAAAGUGGUACGCGAGCUGGGUUUAGAACGUCGUGAGACAGUUCGGUCCCUAUCUGCCGUGGGCGCUGGAGAACUGAGGGGGGCUGCUCCUAGUACGAGAGGACCGGAGUGGACGCAUCACUGGUGUUCGGGUUGUCAUGCCAAUGGCACUGCCCGGUAGCUAAAUGCGGAAGAGAUAAGUGCUGAAAGCAUCUAAGCACGAAACUUGCCCCGAGAUGAGUUCUCCCUGAGACUUAGAGUCUCCUGAAGGAACGUUGAAGACGACGACGUUGAUAGGCCGGGUGUGUAAGCGCAGCGAUGCGUUGAGCUAACCGGUACUAAUGAACCGUGAGGCUUAACCUUAC